UAUUGGACAAAGGGGGCAACCCUGAUCCAGCCACGCCGCGUGUGUGAAGAAGGUCUUCGGAGUGUAAAGCACUUUAAGUGGGGAGGAAGGGCUUUAGGUUAAUAUACGGAAGACUUGACGUUACCAACAGAAUAAGCACCGGCUAACUCUGCGCCAGCAGCCGCGGUAAUACAGAGGGUGCAAGGGUUAAUCGGAAUUACUGGGCGUAAAGCGCGCGUAGGUGGUUCAGUAAGAUGGGUGUGAAAUCCCCGGGCCUAACCUGGGAACUGCUUUCAUAACUGCUGAGCUAGAGUAAGGUAGAGGGUAGUGGAAUUUCCUGUGUAGCGGUGAAAUGGGUAGAUAUAGGAAGGAACACCAGUGGCGAAGGCGACUACCUGGACUGAUACUGACACUGAGGUGCGAAAGCGUGGGGAGCAAAC
RNAcentral lists this ribosomal RNA (419 nucleotides) under uncultured bacterium. RNAcentral's name for it is "partial 16S ribosomal RNA". It matches the Rfam family "Bacterial small subunit ribosomal RNA", at positions 362 to 773 of the family's 1533-position model. The record is from RNAcentral.